UUUUUAUUUUUUUCAUUAUAGCUGGUUUAUAGUGUUCUGUCAAUUUUCUACUGUACAGUAUGGUGACCCGGUUACACAUACAUGUAUACAUUCUUUUUUCUCACGUUAUCAUGCUCCAUCAUAAGUGACUAGACAAAGUUCCCAGUGCUAUACAGCAGGAUCUCAUUACCUACCCAUUCCAAAGGCAAUAGUCUGCAUCUAUUAACCCCAAGUUCCCAACCCAUCCCACUCCUACACUCUCCCCCUUGGCAACCACAAGUCUAUUCUCCAAGUCCAUGAUUCUAAUAUAUGGCACAAAUGAACCUUGCCCUGAUUGUUUUAAUGUCUCCACUUGUUCCUUCUUCACCCACAGGUAAAGCCAAAGGUUCAGGAGCAAAAAGUCCCAAUCAUUACCCUCAGGGGCCCCAUUGUUCUUGCCCCAGUUUAAAUGCCUUGGCCCUAUUUUACUCUCUAGAGAUUAUCCACUCUUCAGGAGACUGUUGCUGCCUCUUCUGCCUAUUGGGCACUUGAAAGCAGUUCAUUUAAACAUCAAUAACUAGGAGUCUUCAUUGACCUCACCUAGUCUUGACCCCAGAACAAAAUCUUGUGAAAAGUCAAUAAAAGUAGCAAACAAUGUUAUGUUACUCUUGGUGGACUUGGCAAAACAAUGAGAGGGUUUAACAAUAGUUAAUCACGGACUUAGGAGUUGCUAGCAAGUAUUGAGUGUUUACAAAGCAUCAGGCGGUAGGCACACAUGUUCUCUUUGGAUUCACAGAACAACCAGAUGAAGUAGGCACUGUCAUUCCCCCUGUUUUAUGGGGGAGAAACUGGUUUACAAGGGCAGAGUAUUUAACCUGAGGCCGCAAACCAGCAACAGGGCUCUUGUCAGCAACCUGCGGUGUCUUUGUGCUCUCCGUGUAGAAUAUUAGACUGAGAAACUCAGACUCAGUUUCUUAUAGAGGAAACUUGGGAAGUUUUGAACAAACAUUCAGAAAAGUAAUAGGUCUGUAGUUAUUCUACAGCAUUGCUCUCUUAGAAUGGGGUAGAUUUUUGCUUUUCUUUGGUGCCGGUUGGGGGAAGAAUAAACCUUUAGUUUUUCAAAAUGUGCCUACUUUACCAAUGCAAUUAAGUUGCAAACCAAUAACAAGGAGAUAACUUGGAAAGAAAGCAUAGGAGCACUUUCUAAGCAUUUAGGAAAUGAGAAAAAAAAUCAUAAUGGUAUUAGAAUAUGUUUAUAUGGAAUGAUAAUAUCCCUGUCAUGUAUUAAAACAUAAGGGAUAUAAAUAGCAUUUCUUAAGGAGAAGGCAUAUUCUUAAAUACUUACAUUAGAAAAAAUAAAGUCCCAUAAUUUUUUAAAAAGUGAAGUACAGUUGAUUUGCAAUGUUGUGUUCAUUUCAGAUGUUCAUCAAAGUGAUUCAGACCUAUAUCUAUAAACAUCCAUGUAUCUACACAUAGAUGUACUUUUUCAGAUUCUUUCUCUUCUAGAUUAUUACAACAUUUUGAGUAUAGUGCCCUGUAGUAUACAGUAGGUCUUUGUUGGGAGACUGUGCUUUGAAAGCCCAUCCUGAUGAGGACAGAGAUUGAGGACUUAAUGAAAGCAAUUCCCUUAACAAACAUCCAAACCCAUCCAUCAGAAGAGGGGGAGGGAGGGCAAAGGGAGAACAUCUGGUCAGGGAGGAGUUGGUGUCUAAAAUAAUCCAUAAGAGGACGCAUUAGCAAGUCCUGAGAAGCUUCCAAGAGAAGCUAAUAAUGGGCAAAAUGAGAGGUGACAUUCCUGCACAUACAGCUGACCCUUGAACCACACAGGUUGAAUCAGUCCUUAAAUGGGAAUUUUUCAAUCAAGCUUAAGUGGAAAUUGUUUUCAGUAGCAAAUACUACAGUGCUACACAAUGGGUGGUUGGUUGAAUUUGCAGAUGCAGAACCUCAGAUGUGAAGCACUAAGGGUUAGUUAAACACAGAUUCUUGACUCCGUGGAGGCGGGAUCCCCUAACCCUGGCAUUGUUCAAGGAUAAUUGAAUAAAGCUGUGAAAAACUGAACCUUUUGGAUCAACUGGAAUAUGAGUUUCUACAAGCUUUCCAACUAGAAGCAUUUAGUGGGUAACAAGGUUGCAGAAUAUAUCUCAUGACAAAUUCUAACAGCCCAAUCCAAAACUUUCCACAGAAAUCACAGUACUUGAGGAAAUUUUAUAGAGGCAAAAUGAAAUUACAAUAAGAAUAAAACUGCUUAGUAGUCCUGCUGACUUGCCUAUGUAUACAAGGGUUUUUUUUCCCCUGUUGAAUACUUACCCAACCAGAAGCCUGAAGUCUGAAAGGCAAGCACCCCAUCUACCCUAAUAGUUCUGGCUAUCCUGACUUAUCUGAGGAAAGGAACUAAAUCCCCCCUUGACUUAUUAAGACAAUUAAAAUGUAGCUUCACACUAUUCACAACAGCCAAGACAUGGAAACAGCCUAAAUGUCCAUCAACAGAGGAAUGGAUAAAGAAGAUGUGGACAUUUUUGCAGGGGAAUACUACUCAGCCAUUAAAAAGAAAAAAUAAAGGCAUUUGCAGCAACAGGGACCCAACUAGAGAUUCUCAUACUAUAAAGUAAGUCAGAAAAAAAUAAGACAAAUACCAUAUGAUAUCACUUACAUGUGGAAUCUAAAAUAUGGCGUAAAUGAACCUAUCUAUAAAACAGAAACAGACUCACAGACAUAGAGAACAGACUUGUGGCUGCCAAGGAGAAAUGGGGAGAGUGUGGGAUGGAUGGGAAGUUUGGGGUUAAUAGAUGCAAACUAUUUGGAAUGGAUGGGCAAUGAGAUCCUACAGUGCAACACAUAAAACUAUAUCCAAUCUCUUGAGAUAGAACAUGGUAGAAGAUAAUAUGAGAAAGGAAAUAUAUAUAUAUAUAUGAUUGGGUCCCUGCUGUACAGCAGAAAUUGGCACAACAUUAUAAAUCAACUAUAAUUUUUUUAAAUGUAGCUUCAGAAGACUAUCAUGAGAUGGAAGAGUCCUUUACUUUGUCUCAGCCUUUUAACCUACUCCAAUGAGUCUAUGUAUGGAUAGAAAUAGAUUCAGGGGCUGCUACUACCCAGGAGCAGGUGAGAAGGUGAAAUGGUCUACACCACCUGUUCCAGAGAUCAUGGAGAUGAAGGAAGGGUGGUCAUCUAAGGCCACAGCAGCGGCUUCCCAAGUGAAGAAAAAUAAAUGAAGUUCCCAUACCCAUACGGCCAGUCAGCCAUCCUCGGUCAGGCCUAAACCACUAAGUCCUCAAAGAAUGCUGGUUGGGUGAAUACAUUUAUUUAGAAAGAGCCAGAGCUGGUUGAGGCUUGGGGCUAAAUGUUAAAGGAUGGAUUUGGCCAGUGGAAAAAGAGGUUUGUUCCAAUCAGAGAGGAAAGCCAAGGGGUGUGGAUGACUUUGAAGUUCUCACUCAGACAGAGGAUGGGCAGUGCGGCCAAGGUGACAGGUGAAGGAGGAGAUAUCCGUCCCAAGUAAUAACAAAUGUGGUCUCUGGACACCAACCGGGGAAACCUUUCUUCGGAGCCUGGUGGAUCUUGAUGAGUGUUACCGUCUCAAACCACCUUUGUCUGUACCUACACGACUACAAUCUUCUGAUCAUCUAUCUUACUGACACAUUUAUGACUAUUUUAGAACUCGAGUCUUUAUUAUUUAUUUUGUCUUUUUAGGUCCACACCUUCGGCAUAUGGAGGUUCUCAGGUAUGAGUAAUGGAGACUAAGCCUUUUCAGUGAAAAGGAAGCAAAAUGGCUCUUUAAUAAAUUAAAUCAAUUUUCUCAAGUUGUGUAUUUUCUAAACCGAACAUUUCCCAAAAUGUGCUUUUCUCAAUGUGUAUUAGCAAUGAAAGGCUCUGAGAAGACCAGCCAUAAGAGAAAACUAACUUCAUUUAACCCAGAGAUGAUCAAACUCAUUUGACCUGGGAAUGCAUCUUUCAUAGAAGCUCUAUUGCCACCUUCCAGGAAGGUGUGGGAAAUGUUGAAUUAAGAAACCAAUUCAGGGAGUUCCCAUCAUGACUCAGCGGUUAAUGAACCCAACUGGUAUCCAUAAGGAUGCAGGUUCAAUCCCUGGCCUCGCUCAGGGGGUUGAGGAUCCGAUGUUGCCAUGAGCUGUGGGGUAGGUUGCAUAUGCGGCUCGGAUCCCACGUUACUGUGGCUGUGGUGUAGGCUGGCAGCUUCAGCUCCGAUUCUACCACUAGCCUGGGAACCUCCAUAUGCCUCAGGUGUGGCCCUAAGAGGAAAAAAAAAAUUCAUACUUUAAUGUUAUGAUAUCUGGUAUACCUAGGUGAUACAUAUAUACUUAUUUUUUAAUUUUUAGGGUAAUUUUAAGUAACAAAAUCAUUAUUCAUUGUCAAUAGGCUUUUUUCCAAAAAGUGAAUUUUUAAAAGAUAAAGUAGUGAUGACCUUCGGAAUGCAGACAAAACCUCAGAAUUAGGAAGAAUGUGGCUUUAACAUCUACUAAAAAAUAAUUUAAGAAGUAUCUACCAUCUCAUGGCCUGCCCAACCCAAGAAUAAAUUAUUCCCUCUAGUUACACAGCUCAUAGUGCCUCGGAAACUCUUAAUUCUGCUUAGAUGCCUUCUGAGUGUGAGUGAAAUUUAAUUAUCUCAUUUGCUUUAAUAGCAGAGUGUAGAUUAAUGGUGUAAGAGGAAAAGAUGGCUUGUAACAUGAGUGGUAAGGUGCAGAGUCCCUGGCGUGACCAUCACGGCGGAAACUUGAACUCUAGAGCCCAGGAAAGUGUCCGUUUAUAGAAAAGACAGAGCUUUGGCUCCCAUAACAUGCUUUUUCCAUUUAUACUGAAAUUUAUUUGGUUUGGGGGAAUGAGAAUAAAAGUGUUCAUCAGGCAAACUGCUGUUCAAAUUUUGACUUCAUCACUUACAAGCUAUUUAACCACAGGCAAAUCUCUGGCUUCGGUUUCCUCUUCGUAAAAUGGCAUUAAUAGCUGGGAGUACUAGAAGAAAGCUGUCCUCAUUUAUGCUUUUAGAAAUCUUCAGGAUGAUUACUAUUCACCAUCUCGUUACCCUCAAGCAAAGCUUCCCAGCAGACACACCCCUCCAUCCCACUCAAGGCUCUAAAGGAGAGAGAUCCAGUCAGAAAAUAGACCUGCUGACAAUGAACACGUACAUAAACACACUUAAUCUUUCUCUCUGAAAUGGAAAUGCAAAACCAAGGCUCAUCAGGCAUAUGAGGAGAACUGUGGCAUGAAAAAGACCAAAAGAAACAAAAACAGACCCGGGGGGGGGGGGGGAAGACAUUUAGGAAAAAGGAGACAAGACUAAAAAAACUGUCUAAUUACUUUGUCCAGAGAAUUUUGGAGAAAAUAUUAUAUCCUUACAAUCAGAACAAAAUGAUAAGGAAAAGAAAAAAUAGAGAAUAAAAGGCAGGGUUUGCAGAUUAAAAAAAAUAACACCGAUUGAAAAAAAAAUUUAACUAAAGAAGGACUAGAAACUAAACUUGCCAAACUCUCCCUACUCUCUUAGAAUGUAGGGGGGAAAACGACAAAAAAAUUAAAAACUAUGAGAGAAAUCAUCCAGAAGAUUUCACAUAUAGACUUGGAAAUAAAAAAAAUUAUCAAAAAAUAGUUGAAGAGGGAGUUCCCGUCAUGGUGCAGCUGAAAUGAAUUCGGCUAGGAACCAUGAGGUUGCGGGUUUGAUCCCUGGCUUCGCUCAGUGGGUUAAGAAUCCGAUGUUGCCUUGAGCUGUGGUGUAGGUCGAAGAUGCGGCUCGGAUCCCAAGUUGCUGUGGCUCUGGCAUAGACUGGCAGCUGUAGCUCUGAUUAGACCCCUAGCAUGGGAACCUCCAUAUGCCAUAGUUGUGGCUCUAAAAGGACAAAAGACAAAAAAAAAAAGUUGAAGAAAAUUGUCCAAAUUUUAAGGACAAAAUUCUUCAUAAUGAAAAGAGCUUUCUGGAUGCCCAGAACAGUUAAAGAAAGCCAUACCUAGACAUAUUUUUAUCAAGGAUAAAAGGAAAUUUUAUCUAAAGACUUCUAUACCCAGCCAGGUAUCAAUCAAGCACGAAGGCAGAACAAUGGUAUUUUCAGGCAUAAAAACAAAAACAAAAACAAAAACAAAUCUCAGAAAAUGCAUUUCCCAUACAUGUUUUCCUGUAAAGGUGUUUGGAAAUAUACCUAGAAAAAUGAAAGAAUAGAAUAGGAAGGAUGUUGAGGGAUCUAGGAGUUUGGGGAUCCUAUCCCAGGCUCCUGGUAGCAGUGGGAAAAAUUUGCAGAGCAGCAAUUGCAUAGCAGGUUUAGAAGGAGGAUAAACAGACUGGAGCAGAGGAUGAGGCGGAGAUCAGGAAUGGAGGUCCCCAGGAGAAAAAGAGGACUGAAUAGAAAAGACCGGCUUGGGGGAAAUUAAACCACAAGGGCAAAUAAUGCAAGAAAAACAAUAGUAUCUGUUGGAAACUCCAGAAAUCAGGGGUAAGGUGAGGAAUGUGUAAUAAAGCUGAAUGCAUCAUAAAACCAUAAUUCACACUUGAAGCAAACUAAAGUGUGGCCACAUUGGAGGAUAAAAACAAAGAGAGAGAAAAUCCCUUGAACCUUGAUUCUGAGAUCAUCCUCUCUUGACGGGCCCGGGGUUAUGAUGUCAGAUAUUAAAUGACAUGAUCGAUGUAAGGAAAAGCCAUGAGAUGUGGCUGCAACUGCUGGACAGAGUGUAUAGUAACUGUUUAACCCACAAAGUGGGAUUUGCAAGGUAGAGACAAGGGCAGGGCACCAGCUUCACCUUCUAAAGUGAGGGCUCAGCAAUAUAAUAUUAUCAAAAGCUGAGAAAUAUCAAUGUUGUGUAAUACUUCAAAUUACAAAUACAAUAAACAGAGGAAAAACAAGGAUAAUAAUAUAAAUGUCAGGCAUGGGGUAUGUCUGAGAUUCUGGAGCAGAGGGGUGGUUGUAUUGAGCUAAAGCCUCAUCUUCCUAUCAAAGAGGCUGUAAAGAAUAUCUCUUCCUAAUACAUUGUAAAAAUAAGAAUGAUGGAGUUCCCCAUUGUG
RNAcentral lists this long non-coding RNA (6949 nucleotides) under Sus scrofa (pig). RNAcentral's name for it is "lncRNA (ENSSSCG00050034564.1)". Lineage: Eukaryota; Metazoa; Chordata; Mammalia; Artiodactyla; Suidae. The record is from RNAcentral.